This 73-nucleotide transfer RNA is filed under the name Marmota monax (woodchuck). Its description in RNAcentral is "tRNA.Ala". Lineage: Eukaryota; Metazoa; Chordata; Mammalia; Rodentia; Sciuridae. The record is from RNAcentral.
AGGGAUGUGGCUCAAGCGGUAGUGUGCUCGCCUGGCAUGUGGGGGGUGCUGGGUUCGAUCCUCAGCACCCCAA